CGGCGCACGGGUGAGUAACGCGUGGGCAUCUGCCCUGGGGUGGGGGAUAACCGCUGGAAACGGCGGCUAAUACCGCAUACGCCUUGAGAGGGAAAGAUUUAUCGCCCUGGGAUGAGCCCGCGUUGGAUUAGCUUGUUGGUGAGGUAAAGGCUCACCAAGGCGACGAUCCAUAGCUGGUCUGAGAGGAUGAUCAGCCACACUGGGACUGAGACACGGCCCAGACUCCUACGGGAGGCAGCAGUGGGGAAUAUUGGACAAUGGGGGCAACCCUGAUCCAGCCAUGCCGCGUGUGUGAAGAAGGCCUUAGGGUUGUAAAGCACUUUCACCGGUGAAGAUGAUGACGGUAGCCGGAGAAGAAGCCCCGGCUAACUCCGUGCCAGCAGCCGCGGUAAU
Molecule: ribosomal RNA, 393 nt
Filed under: uncultured bacterium
Lineage: Bacteria
Description: bacterial SSU rRNA
Rfam family: Bacterial small subunit ribosomal RNA
Source: RNAcentral